This 450-nucleotide ribosomal RNA is filed under the name uncultured bacterium. RNAcentral describes it as "bacterial SSU rRNA". It matches the Rfam family "Bacterial small subunit ribosomal RNA", at positions 8 to 448 of the family's 1533-position model. The record is from RNAcentral.
AGAGUUUGAUCCUGGCUCAGAGCGAACGCUGGCGGCGUGCUUAACACAUGCAAGUCGAACGCGCAGCAUUCUGUAGCAAUACAGGGUGUGGGCGCGUGGCGAACGGGUGCGUAACACGUGGAUAACCUUCCUUCAGGUGGGGAAUAACCCAGUGAAAAUUGGGCUAAUACCGCAUAACAUGACGAUGCCACAUGGUGUUGUCUUCAAAGCCGCAAGGCGCCAGAAGAGGGAUCCGCGGCCGAUUAGCUUGUUGGCGAGGUAAUGGCUCACCAAGGCUUUGAUCGGUAGCCGGACUGAGAGGUUGGCCGGCCACACUGGAACUGAGACACGGUCCAGACUCCUACGGGAGGCAGCAGUGGGGAAUCUUGCACAAUGGACGAAAGUCUGAUGCAGCAACGCCGCGUGGGGGAUGAAGCUUUUCGGAGUGUAAACCCCUUUCGACCCGGAAGA